Molecule: ribosomal RNA, 520 nt
Filed under: uncultured Glomus
Lineage: Eukaryota; Fungi; Glomeromycota; Glomeromycetes; Glomerales; Glomeraceae
Description: SSU rRNA
Rfam family: Eukaryotic small subunit ribosomal RNA
Source: RNAcentral
AGCAGCCGCGGUAAUUCCAGCUCCAAUAGCGUAUAUUAAAGUUGUUGCAGUUAAAAAGCUCGUAGUUGAAUUUCGGGGUUAGUAGGUUGGUCGUGCCACUGGUACGUACUGGUCUCACUGAUUCCUCCUUCCUGAUGAACUGUAAUGCCAUUAAUUUGGUGUUGCAGGGAAACUGGACUGUUACUUUGAAAAAAUUAGAGUGUUUAAAGCAAGCUAACGCUUGAAUACAUUAGCAUGGAAUAAUGAAAUAGGACGUUCGAUCCUAUUUUGUUGGUUUCUAGGAUUGACGUAAUGAUUAAUAGGGAUAGUUGGGGGGCAUUAGUAUUCAAUUGUCAGAGGUGAAAUUCUUGGAUUUAUUGAAGACUAACUACUGCGAAAGCAUUUGCCAAGGAUGUUUCCAUUAAUCAAGAACGAAAGUUAGGGGAUCGAAGACGAUCAGAUACCGUCGUAGUCUUAACCAUAAACUAUGCCGACUAGGGAUCGGAUGAUGUUAAUUUUUUAAUGACUCAUUCGGCGCCUU